This 690-nucleotide ribosomal RNA is filed under the name uncultured archaeon. RNAcentral's name for it is "bacterial SSU rRNA". It matches the Rfam family "Archaeal small subunit ribosomal RNA", at positions 230 to 921 of the family's 1478-position model. The record is from RNAcentral.
CUGUAGUGGGUGUAACGGACCCCACUAACCUACGACGGGUAGGGGCGUUGAGAGACGGAGCCCCCAGAUGGAUUCUGAGACACGAAUCCAGGCCCUACGGGGCGCAGCAGCUACGAAAACUGCACAAUGUGGGAAACCACGAUGCGGGUAUUCCGAGUGACAACGCAUUGCGUUGUCUGUUCUUUCGCCUAAAAGGCGAGAGAAGUAAGGGCCGGGUAAGACGGGUGCCAGCCGCCGCGGUAAUACCCGCGGCCCGAGUGGUGCUCAUUAUUAUUGAGCUUAAAGCGUUCGUAGCCGGCCUCGUAAAUCCUUGGGUAAAUCGGGCAGCCCAACUGUUCGAAUUCCGAGGAGACUGCGAGGCUCGGGACCGGGAGAGGUCAGAGGUACUUCGGGGGUAGGGGUAAAAUCCUGUAAUCCUCGAAGGACCACCAGUGGCGAAGGCGUCUGACUAGAACGGAUCCGACGGUGAGGGACGAAGCCCUGGGGCGCAAACGGGAUUAGAUACCCCGGUAGUCCAGGGUGUAAACGCUGCAGGCUUGGUGUCGGAGGUCCUACGGGGGCGUCCGGUGCCGGAGAGAAAUUGUUAAGCCUGCCGCUUGGGGAGUACGGUCGCAAGACUGAAACUUAAAGGAAUUGGCGGGAGAGCACCGCAACGGGAGGAGCGUGCGGUUCAAUUGGAUUCAACGCCGG